Molecule: ribosomal RNA, 892 nt
Filed under: uncultured bacterium
Lineage: Bacteria
Description: bacterial SSU rRNA
Rfam family: Bacterial small subunit ribosomal RNA
Source: RNAcentral
GGCUCAGAUGAAACGCUGGCGGCGUGCCUAACACAUGCAAGUCGAGCGGUAACAGGUGUAGCAAUACAUGCUGACGAGCGGCGGACGGGUGAGCAAUAUUUGGGAAUCUGCCUAUUAGUGGGGGACAACCCGGGGAAACUCGGGCUAAUACCGCAUACGCACUACGGUGGAAAGCCGGGGACCGCAAGGCCUGGCGCUAAUAGAUGAGCCCAAAUCGGAUUAGCUAGUUGGUGAGGUAACGGCUCACCAAGGCGACAAUCCGUAGCUGGUCUGAGAGGACGACCAGCCACACCGGAACUGAGACACGGUCCGGACUCCUACGGGAGGCAGCAGUGGGGAAUAUUGGACAAUGGGGGAAACCCUGAUCCAGCGACGCCGCGUGGGUGAAGAAGGCCUGCGGGUUGUAAAGCCCUUUCGGUGGGGAAGAAAAGUUUCGACCUAACACGUCGAGACCUUGACGUAACCCAUAGAAGAAGCACCGGCUAACUCUGUGCCAGCAGCCGCGGUAAUACAGAGGGUGCGAGCGUUAAUCGGAAUUACUGGGCGUAAAGCGCGCGUAGGCGGCUUUGCAAGCCGGAUGUGAAAUCCCCGGGCUUAACCUGGGAACUGCAUUCGGGACUGCAUUGCUUGAGUAUGGGAGAGGGAGGCGGAAUUUCCGGUGUAGCGGUGAAAUGCGUAGAUAUCGGAAGGAACAUCAGUGGCGAAAGCGGCCUCCUGGACCAAUACUGACGCUCAUGUGCGAAAGCGUGGGGAGCAAACAGGAUUAGAUACCCUGGUAGUCCACGCCAUAAACGAUGAGAACUGGAUGUCGGGAGGGUCUGCCUCUCGGUGUCGUAGCUAACGCGUUAAGUUCUCCGCCUGGGGAGUACGGCCGCAAAGGUGAAACUCAAAU